CCUACGGGUGGCAGCAGUGAGGAAUAUUGGUCAAUGGGCGCAAGCCUGAACCAGCCAAGUCGCGUGAGGGAUGACGGUCCUAUGGAUUGUAAACCUCUUUUGUCGGUGAGCAAGGCCCGCCCCGUGUGGCGGAAGGAGAGUACCCGAAGAAAAAGCAUCGGCUAACUCCGUGCCAGCAGCCGCGGUAAUACGGAGGAUGCGAGCGUUCUCCGGAUUUAUUGGGUUGAAGGGGUGCGUGGGCGGAAGGUUAAGUACGCGGUAAAAUGUCGGUGCUCAACACCGGCCUGCCGUUGAAACUGGUCUUCUUGAGUGAGCGAGAAGUAUGCGGAAUGCGUGGUGUAGCGGUGAAAUGCAUAGAUAUCACGCAGAACUCCGAUUGCGAAGGCAGCAUACCGGCGCUCAACUGACGCUGAGGCACGAAAGCGUGGGGAUCGAACAGGAUUAGAUACCCCAGUAGUG
This 459-nucleotide ribosomal RNA is filed under the name uncultured bacterium. RNAcentral's name for it is "partial 16S ribosomal RNA". It matches the Rfam family "Bacterial small subunit ribosomal RNA", at positions 338 to 795 of the family's 1533-position model. The record is from RNAcentral.